UACGGAAGGCAGCAGUGGGGAAUAUUGCACAAUGGGCGCAAGCCUGAUGCAGCCAUGCCGCGUGUAUGAAGAAGGCCUUCGGGUUGUAAAGUACUUUUCAGUCGUGAGGAAGGUGUUAAGGUUAAUAACCUUAGCAAUUGACGUUAGCGACAGAAGAAGCACCGGCUAACUCCGUGCCAGCAGCCGCGGUAAUACGGAGGGUGCGAGCGUUAAUCGGAAUUACUGGGCGUAAAGGGCACGCAGGCGGUUAAUUAAGUUGGAUGUGAAAUCCCCGGGCUUAACCUGGGAAUGGCAUUCAAGACUGGUUAGCUAGAGUCUUGUAGAGGGGGUUAGAAUUCCAUGUGUAGCGGUGAAAUGCGUAGAGAUGUGGAGGAAUACCGGUGGCGAAGGCGGCCCCUGGACAAAGGCUGACGCUCAUGUGCGAAAGCGUGGGGAGCAAAC
RNAcentral lists this ribosomal RNA (441 nucleotides) under uncultured bacterium. RNAcentral's name for it is "bacterial SSU rRNA". It matches the Rfam family "Bacterial small subunit ribosomal RNA", at positions 340 to 773 of the family's 1533-position model. The record is from RNAcentral.